This 73-nucleotide transfer RNA is filed under the name Pseudomonas peradeniyensis. RNAcentral describes it as "tRNA-Ile". The record is from RNAcentral. Lineage: Bacteria; Pseudomonadati; Pseudomonadota; Gammaproteobacteria; Pseudomonadales; Pseudomonadaceae.
AGGUCUGUAGCCCAGUUGGUUAGAGCGCACCCUGAUAAGGGCGAGGUCGGCAGUCACCCGCCCAGACCUACCA